Molecule: ribosomal RNA, 253 nt
Filed under: uncultured bacterium
Lineage: Bacteria
Description: partial 16S ribosomal RNA
Rfam family: Bacterial small subunit ribosomal RNA
Source: RNAcentral
UACGUAGGGGGCAAGCGUUGUCCGGAUUUAUUGGGCGUAAAGAGCGUGUAGGCGGUUUGGUAGGUCCGUUGUGAAAACUCGAGGCUCAACCUCGAGACGUCGGUUGAAACCACCUGGCUAGAGUCCGGAAGAGGAGAGUGGAAUUCCCGGUGUAGCGGUGAAAUGCGCAGAUAUCGGGAAGAACACCCGUGGCGAAGGCGGCUCUCUGGGACGGUACUGACGCUGAGACGCGAAAGCGUGGGGAGCAAACAGG